CUCUGGUGGGGCAUCCGUCUGCGCCUGUCCUGCUGCCCUGCUUCUCUGGAAGCCGGGAAGCACAGGUGCAGUCCCUGGUGUGCCCUGCUGCUGGUGGCCCCUGGAAAAAAAGCCAGGGGAAGGGAGUGGCAGGCCACGGGGUCUCAGCUCUCAUAUGCUGCUGCCACCACAACUCCCUUUGGGAGCGAACAGGAGCAGCGGCGGGGCAAGGAUGCACCCACCAGACAGCCAGCGCUCUAAUCCAAAGCACUUCACAAAUGGUACAAACAAUAUUUGGGAAGAUCAUUAAAUGGUCUGCCGAGAUUUUCAUGUGGUCUGUGAAAAUAAACGUUAGACUCCAAAAACAAUCAAGUUUCUCUUGCUGCCACCAAAAUAUUUUUAAAAGCACAGGAACAUGACUGCAGCAUGUUGCACCCACCUUGAUGCUGAUCCUAGGGACACUAGACAUUUACCAAGCUAAUGAGAGUAUGCGGAGUUAUGAUUGUUAAUGUCAACAAACCAGUUUUGAAGAGAUAUAAAACCUCAUGCACCAGCGUUAAACCAGUAUCUAACUAUUAGGGGUGAGGAUGAGGUGUACGGAUCCAGAUUAUCCCACAUCUACCUAUUGCAGGAUUUCUUACGCCUUCCCUUGAAGUACCUGGUCUGGCCAGUCUCAGAGAUAGGAUAAUGGCUUCGAUGGGCUUCCAUCUGACCCAGCCUGGCAAGUCCCAUGUUCUGUCUCUUGCUUUCUCUACAUUUUUGUUCAUUUGUCUUCUUCCUUCCAUCUUCGGCUUUCAUUUUUGACUUUGAUCUUGCUCCAUUUUUCUUCCUGCCUUUUUCUCUCUUUUCCAAAAGGUGGCAACACCACUCAAUGGAAUGGCACAUUUCCCAUGCCUCAGGGUCAAUCUAACAAAUCGUAGCUAACUCUGAGACACGGGAAAUGUUCCUUCCCAUCCACGGGGUUUCCACCUUUUGGUCACAAGAAAAAGCACUACACUGCACUAUAUUUUCCUCUAUAACUUUUCCAUGGCCAUUAGGCUAUUUUUAUCCCCAUGUUUCCAAAUACAGACAUAAAUAAAUGUGAAUACUAGGAACCUCUGAGGACAAGAAUCAGGGGGAUCUGUGCUCAUUACUAGGACGGCAGCUGAAAACAGGAGAGGAACAUUUAGGGAAGUGGGAGAGAAAAGCCAAAAGAGGAAGGGGAAAGCAGGAGUGGAACAGCAGAGAGGAAAAAGAAAAACAGAAGGGAGUAAAGAAGCAGAACCUAGAGGAGGGAAAAAGAAGAGAACAGUAACCAUGUCCUUUAGGAUGAAAUUUGCUUCCCCUGCAUAAAACCCUAUAACCUGGGCUUGAUGCAGGUGAAAUGCAUGAGGUAUGGGGUGGAAUCCAUCUCCAUCUCGGGGCUAGGGUUGGGAUACAGCAAGGCCCUGCCCCCAUGGCUGCUCCUCCAGCUAAUUUAUUGCCCGUGGCCGCUGGGUAGUCAUAGGCACAGACUGCCACUUGCCUCCUGCUCCCACUGUCAUUUUUACUUCACUCAGUUGGUGUAGAACUUUGCUUAUCCCACAGUCUUAGGGAUACCUGAAAGCUAUGGCUAAUCAGGGUUUUGGUUAAACAUGGGAGCCAGCUAGCUGACACAGGAACAGGAAUUGCCAGAGCUUGCUACCUUCCCAAGGCCAGUGACAGAAGAGGAGCAGGAAGGGGAGAAGAGGAGAGCUCUUUUGAGCUCCUCUCUUAAAUCUUGCCUGUAACCUAUCAGCUUUGAGAAAACCAAAGGAGAGGCAGCCCUACUCCCUACCUUCCUCUUCAGACAGCUGUGCAGCAAACCGAGGGCACCUGACUUGGGUGUUGGCUAACCAGGAGUUUUGGUCAUCUGGAGUUGGGAUAAUCAAGAUUCAACUGGAUAUUCUAGAACAUUGCAUAUA
Chelonia mydas (Green sea turtle) is the source of this 1901-nucleotide long non-coding RNA. RefSeq lists it as uncharacterized. Lineage: Eukaryota; Metazoa; Chordata; Testudines; Cheloniidae. The transcript has 3 exons. The record is from RefSeq and is a predicted model, not a curated record.